RNAcentral lists this long non-coding RNA (759 nucleotides) under Ananas comosus (pineapple). Its description in RNAcentral is "long non-coding RNA (ACOM_LNC036106)". The record is from RNAcentral. Lineage: Eukaryota; Viridiplantae; Streptophyta; Magnoliopsida; Poales; Bromeliaceae.
CAGAGGGCGGUGGCAAGUGCGGCCUCGACGGUCUCGGAGACGAAGAGGGCGAGAAAUGCACGAAAGAAUCUCUGGAUUAGUACUUUUAUUUGUUUAAAACAAAAAAAAACUAAAAGGCCAAAAAAUAGAGAAUAAUAAAGAAAACUAGAGAAUAAGGAAGAAGAAGAUGAAUUUGCAUUGUUAAGAUUAAAUUGCACUGUUUUAAAAGAACGUUGCACUAUUAUGGACGUAAGUUGCAUUUUUUUAAAUGUAAACUGCACCUUUUAAGAUGAAAGCUACACUCUUUAAACGAAUGUUGCACUCUUUGAGAGAUAUUUACACUGUUUCUCCUUUUAUUGCACUCUUUAAAAGGAGAUAUUUACACUAUUUCUUCUCUUGUCGUACUAUUUCUUCUCUUGUUGCACUAUUUCUCCUCUUGUUGCACUAUUUUUUCUGUUAAAGGGUGCAGUUUACACAUCAACACAUCAAAGGAGAAAUAAUACAACAAGAGAAGAAAUAGUGUAAAUGUUUCCUCUUAAAGAGGGCAACAAGAGGAUAAACAGUAUAAAUAUCUCUCAAAGAGUGCAACUUUCGUUUAAAGAGUAUAGCUUUCAUCUUAAAGGGUGCAGUUUACAUUUAAAAAAAUGCAAGUUACGUUCAUAAUAGUGUAACGUUCUUUUAAAACAGUGAAAUUUAAUCUUAACAAUGCAAAUUCAUCUUCUUCUUCCUUCUUCUCUGAUUUUCUUUAUUAUUCUCUAGUUUUUGGUCUUUUAGUUUUUU